This 447-nucleotide ribosomal RNA is filed under the name uncultured bacterium. RNAcentral's name for it is "bacterial SSU rRNA". It matches the Rfam family "Bacterial small subunit ribosomal RNA", at positions 329 to 792 of the family's 1533-position model. The record is from RNAcentral.
UUCCAGACUCCUACGGGAGGCAGCAGUGGGGGAUAUUGCACAAUGGGGGGAACCCUGAUGCAGCGACGCCGCGUGGGUGAAGAAGUAUUUCGGUAUGUAAAGCCCUAUCGGCAGGGAAGAAAUUGGACGGUACCUGACUAAGAAGCCCUGACUAACUACGUGCCAGCAGCCGCGGUAAUACGUAGGGGGCAAGCGUUAUCCGGAUUCACUGGGUGUAAAGGGAGCGUAGACGGCCAUGCAAGCCUGGAGUGAAAGCCCGGGGCCCAACCCCGGGACUGCUCUGGGAACUGUGCGGCUGGAGUGCGGGAGGGGCAGACGGAAUUCCUGGUGUAGCGGUGAAAUGCGUAGAUAUCAGGAGGAACACCGGCGGCGAAGGCGGCCUGCUGGACCGCGACUGACGUUGAGGCUCGAAAGCGUGGGGAGCAAACAGGAUUAGAUACCCGAGUA